RNAcentral lists this long non-coding RNA (62 nucleotides) under Sitophilus oryzae (rice weevil). RNAcentral describes it as "uncharacterized LOC115878257". The record is from RNAcentral. Lineage: Eukaryota; Metazoa; Arthropoda; Insecta; Coleoptera; Curculionidae.
UAUCACGUUUUAUGCUUUUCGAAUGAGAUUUUAAUGAAUGUAAAUGUUAGCUUUUAGCCAAC